UAGGGAAUCUUCGGCAAUGGGGGGAACCCUGACCGAGCAACGCCGCGUGAGUGAAGAAGGUUUUCGGAUCGUAAAGCUCUGUUGUUAAGGAAGAACGAGUGUGAGAAUGGAAAGUUCAUACUGUGACGGUACUUAACCAGAAAGGGACGGCUAACUACGUGCCAGCAGCCGCGGUAAUACGUAGGUCCCGAGCGUUGUCCGGAUUUAUUGGGCGUAAAGCGAGCGCAGGCGGUUAGAUAAGUCUGAAGUUAAAGGCAGUGGCUCAACCAUUGUAGGCUUUGGAAACUGUUUAACUUGAGUGCAGAAGGGGAGAGUGGAAUUCCAUGUGUAGCGGUGAAAUGCGUAGAUAUAUGGCGGAACACCGGUGGCGAAAGCGGCUCUCUGGUCUGUAACUGACGCUGAGGCUCGAAAGCGUGGGGAGCGAACAGG
This 429-nucleotide ribosomal RNA is filed under the name Bacteroidota bacterium. RNAcentral's name for it is "Bacteroidetes bacterium partial 16S ribosomal RNA". It matches the Rfam family "Bacterial small subunit ribosomal RNA", at positions 355 to 776 of the family's 1533-position model. Lineage: Bacteria; Pseudomonadati; Bacteroidota. The record is from RNAcentral.